GACGAACGCUGGCGGCGUGCCUAAUACAUGCAAGUUGAGCGCUGAAGGUUGGUACUUGUACCAACUGGAUGAGCAGCGAACGGGUGAGUAACGCGUGGGGAAUCUGCCUUUGAGCGGGGGACAACAUUUGGAAACGAAUGCUAGUACCGCAUAAAAACUUUAAACACAAGUUUUAAGUUUGAAAGAUGCAAUUGCAUCACUCAAAGAUGAUCCCGCGUUGUAUUAGCUAGUUGGUGAGGUAAAGGCUCACCAAGGCGAUGAUACAUAGCCGACCUGAGAGGGUGAUCGGCCACAUUGGGACUGAGACACGGCCCAAACUCCCACGGGAGGCAGCAGUAGGGAAUCUUCGGCAAUGGACGAAAGUCUGACCGAGCAACGCCGCGUGAGUGAAGAAGGUUUUCGGAUCGUAAAACUCUGUUGGUAGAGAAGAACGUUGGUGAGAGUGGAAAGCUCAUCAAGUGACGGUAACUACCCAGAAAGGGACGGCUAACUACGUG
This 497-nucleotide ribosomal RNA is filed under the name uncultured bacterium. RNAcentral's name for it is "partial 16S ribosomal RNA". It matches the Rfam family "Bacterial small subunit ribosomal RNA", at positions 28 to 507 of the family's 1533-position model. The record is from RNAcentral.